RNAcentral lists this ribosomal RNA (548 nucleotides) under uncultured bacterium. Its description in RNAcentral is "bacterial SSU rRNA". It matches the Rfam family "Bacterial small subunit ribosomal RNA", at positions 355 to 896 of the family's 1533-position model. The record is from RNAcentral.
UGGGGAAUAUUGGACAAUGGGGGCAACCCUGAUCCAGCAAUGCCGCGUGAGUGAUGAAGGCCUUCGGGUUGUAAAGCUCUUUUGGUCGGGAAGAAAGGAUUCGGGCGAAUACCCUGGAUUUUUGACGGUACCGGCAGAAUAAGCACCGGCUAACUACGUGCCAGCAGCCGCGGUAAUACGUAGGGUGCGAGCGUUAAUCGGAAUUACUGGGCGUAAAGAGUGCGUAGGCGGUUCGUUAUGUCUGCUGUGAAAGCCCUGGGCUUAACCCGGGAACUGCAGUGGAAACUGGCGGGCUUGAGUAUGGCAGAGGGGGGUGGAAUUCCGCGUGUAGCAGUGAAAUGCGUAGAGAUGCGGAGGAACACCGAUGGCGAAGGCAGCCCCCUGGGCUACUACUGACGCUGAGGCACGAAAGCGUGGGGAGCAAACAGGAUUAGAUACCCUGGUAGUCCACGCCCUAAACGAUGAUCACUAGGUGUUGGGGAAGCGAUUUUCCAGUACCGAAGCUAACGCGUGAAGUGAUCCGCCUGGGGAGUACGGUCGCAAGAUUA